AUUGAACGCUGGCGGCAUGCCUUACACAUGCAAGUCGAACGGCAGCGGGGACUUCGGUCCGCCGGCGAGUGGCGAACGGGUGAGUAAUGUAUCGGAACGUACCUUUCAGUGGGGGAUAACGUAGCGAAAGUUACGCUAAUACCGCAUAUUCUCUGAGGAGGAAAGCAGGGGACCUUCGGGCCUUGCGCUGAUGGAGCGGCCGAUAUCAGAUUAGCUAGUUGGUGGGGUAAAGGCUCACCAAGGCUACGAUCUGUAGCGGGUCUGAGAGGAUGAUCCGCCACACUGGGACUGAGACACGGCCCAGACUCCUACGGGAGGCAGCAGUGGGGAAUCUUGGACAAUGGGCGAAAGCCUGAUCCAGCCAUGCCGCGUGAGUGAAGAAGGCCUUCGGGUUGUAAAGCUCUUUCGGACGGGAAGAAAUCAUGAGGGCUAAUAUCCCUUGUGGAUGACGGUACCGUAAUAAGAAGCACCGGCUAACUACGUGCCAGCAGCCGCCGUAA
This 500-nucleotide ribosomal RNA is filed under the name uncultured bacterium. Its description in RNAcentral is "partial 16S ribosomal RNA". It matches the Rfam family "Bacterial small subunit ribosomal RNA", at positions 30 to 523 of the family's 1533-position model. The record is from RNAcentral.